AACAACAGCAUAACACUUUCCUAACCGAUUCCCACAGGUGCAUGCAUUGAGCUGAGGGCUGGGAGAGCACUUUGUUGGGAGCCCCAGUUAAGGGAUUCGUGGUACUCAUGAGGAGCAGAGAUGCAUGAGUCUCCUCGCUGACUUUUCAGGUCCUCUCGCCGUUGUCUGACUCCAUCCUGGCUGAGAAGACGGUGAUUGUCCUGGAUGACCGAGUCGCCAUCGUGGAGCUGGGAGUGCAGCUCGUAGCUGGCAUGUCUCUCUCCCUGCAGCCACACCGAGCAGACAAAAGGGCCAUCGUCUCCACAGCCGCUGCCCUGGAUGUUCUUCUGUCCCCACAGCAGGGGGAAGAAUUGAUAUAUCUGAACUGGAAAAUAAUUUUCAUAUGCUCAGUUUGCUAAUAUAGUUUGGAGAUUUUUUUAAGGCCACUUACCAAAAAAAAGCUCUGGGAGGAAUCUGCCACUCAGAGUUAGAAAUUAAUAUCAUACUUGUAUGAGAAACAAAAGUGAAGAUACGAGAUGGAGACGUUUUGGCCUCAGAACAGUAACUCCACUGAUUGAGUUAAAUGUGUUUAACUCAGGCAGAAAGACGUGCUACCUGUGUGACACCAUCAUAGCUCCCAGCAGCCAACAGGAACACGUGCAGCCACUAAGCUGGAGGGAGAACGCCUGGUAAACCAGAUGUCCCUAGCUCUCGAGUCUGUGUGUUUUAAAUGUCUUGGAAUUAUUUGUGGAUAUUGACAGAUUGAAAUUCAUAGAUCUCCAGCUCACAGAUAGCGUGGGAUAUUUCCAAAUUCCCCAAGUUAAUUUGUAGCUGAAAAUGGAAUUUCAGUCUCUUACACUGUAUGGUUGGAAAACUAUUUAGUGAAUCCAUAUGUGUUCCUGGGGGGCAUUUUGAGGACAUUUGCUGAGAUUGACAAAUAUUUCCAGUAUUGUGUCUCUCCAUACCCACAAUAGCAUUAAGUGGAGGCGUCUGGGAUUGAGCCAUCACACAUCUAUCUAACCACAUUCGCUCAAAUGUGAUGGGCCAAGGCCUUCAGACAUGACCAGGUAACUAUAGGUUGAAUUUAAAUCAGUACUUUGCCUAAGAGAGAUGAAGAGAAAAAUGCACACAGGUAAUUGACUCAACUAACAUACUAUGAAUCUAGGAGGAACAAACAAUAGAAAUUGGGACUUUUAAUGUUUUAUUUUAAAGCAGAAAACAGGUCAUGUGGGCUACACUCAAAACACAGAGAGGGCCCCUCCUUCCCGUCGUCAGGGCAGCCACACCCUCUCCCCUCCAGGCACCAGGCUCUUCCUGUGUUCUCUAAUGUCUGGUAGGGCAGGACUCUUGAACCCCAUCUACACAGCAGCAGGGGCUUGGGAUUCAUUGUUCGUUUUUUGCUUCUAAGAAAAGAGCACAUUCAGGGUAUAUGGAAAAGUAAAAUAGAUAAUAUUUUUUCUGAGUAGCAUAAUACGUGC
Molecule: long non-coding RNA, 1457 nt
Filed under: Homo sapiens (human)
Lineage: Eukaryota; Metazoa; Chordata; Mammalia; Primates; Hominidae
Description: HSALNT0371567
Source: RNAcentral